Molecule: long non-coding RNA, 592 nt
Organism: Hyaena hyaena (striped hyena)
Lineage: Eukaryota; Metazoa; Chordata; Mammalia; Carnivora; Hyaenidae
Exons: 3
Source: RefSeq, a predicted model, not a curated record
UGGUACAUAAGAGCUCAAUGAGUGUUUGCUGCGUUGAAUGAGUGAUGCAGAAUUUCAGACACCAAGCAAGAUGCUGAAGACUGUAGGGAUGCUGAAACAUGCUGGUGAGCAGGGAAGAAGAUGCCGUUUCAUGUGGCCUUGCAAUGCAAACAUUUGGGGAGUGUUCAGUUCCUCUGCCACAUUGGACGUAUACUCAUUUUUAUUGGAGCUCCACUGACUUUGUUUCCAUGGGGAAAUUGGUGCUUAACUGAAAGACUUUGGUAAAUGACUAGGAUUCUUUUGAGAAUGGGAAGGAAUGCCAUCUAUGCUGAGGCAAUAGAUAUAACUCAAGAAGGCUCUUGGGAAACCUGGAGAUCCAGAUGACAGCUCUCGAGUAACUGACCUGCUGACUGGGAAGCAAGGAAGUCCUCAUUCGCAGGCAGUCAGCUACAAGGCAAGUUUGAGGCAUGAGAGAAUUCUUCCAGGUGAAGAUAACACAUAUAACUUGUUCCAGUGUGCUUUUGUGUUCUAGUCAUAUUCUUUCUCUAAUUAGUAUCAAACAUACAAGAAAAUAAAUCUCCGAAACAUAACAACCCCUUAAAAUGUGCAGAAC